GGAUUUUCCUCCUGAAUCCGAUAUCGUAGAAGAUCCAUUCUUGCAUGAGAUUAGAUUUACGACCUGAGCCCGAUAUCGUAGAAGAACCAUUCUUGCAUCAGAGUGAAUUUACGACGUGAGCCCGAUAUCGUAGAAGGACCAUUCUUGCAUCAGAUUGAACGUAUUGAAUGUCUCUAUCAUUUUCAUGAAUAAAUUUUGUGAUUAUAUUACGAAUUAACCCCUAAAAUUGCAUUUUUGUGUUUCGAAGCACUAAUUUUGAUUGUUUUACGGAUUUACGACCUGAGCCCGAUAUCGUAGAAGAACCAUUCUUGCAUCAGAUUGUAUUUUGCACCUGAGUCUGACAUCAUAGAAAAACCAUUCUUGCAUUAGAAUGGAUUUUGCACCUGACUCUGACAUCAUAGAAGGACCAUUCUUGCAUCAGAUUGAUUAAUUUUUGCUGCUUUAAGAGAUUUUGCACCUUAAUCUGACAUCAUAGAAGGACCAUUUAUGCAUCAAAUUG
This is a long non-coding RNA of Dalotia coriaria, 499 nucleotides long. RefSeq lists it as uncharacterized. Lineage: Eukaryota; Metazoa; Arthropoda; Insecta; Coleoptera; Staphylinidae. The transcript is spliced from 6 exons. The record is from RefSeq and is a predicted model, not a curated record.